CAGUUCUUUCUUUAAAGUCCACCGAGAUGGGAAAAUUUCUAAUUUGCUUCCUGUUGAUAUUUUUCCUGGCUUACAUUUACGCUGCUUCCGAGUGGCCUAGAUUCUUUGCAUAUCCCUGCCAAGAGGGUUUGUGCGUGCCAACGGACCGAUAUAAAUGUCCCUGUUGGCAUUUCCAACAUAGUUGUAAGCCCCAGAAGACGUCGUGUUGCGAGGACCCAAACUUUUUUCCAAUGCCCGGAAAUAUGAAAAGCUUUACUUGUAAAAAUCAAACCAAAAAAGGGUAAAGGUAAAGUUAAAGGUAAAAAAAACUAGAAACACUGGUUGAAUAAAAUAAAGUAGCACUUAACCGCCCACAACAUCACAGCUACAAA
This is a long non-coding RNA of Drosophila kikkawai, 371 nucleotides long. RefSeq lists it as uncharacterized. NCBI's taxonomy places the organism in Eukaryota, Metazoa, Arthropoda, Insecta, Diptera, Drosophilidae. The record is from RefSeq and is a predicted model, not a curated record.